Drosophila grimshawi is the source of this 93-nucleotide microRNA precursor. It matches the Rfam family "mir-46/mir-47/mir-281 microRNA precursor family". Rfam says of the family: The hairpin precursors (represented here) are predicted based on base pairing and cross-species conservation -- their extents are not known. In this case the mature sequences are expressed from the 3' arms of the hairpin precursors. The record is from Rfam. NCBI's taxonomy places the organism in Eukaryota, Metazoa, Arthropoda, Insecta, Diptera, Drosophilidae.
CGAAUAGCGAAAUGAAGAGAGCUAUCCGUCGACAGUCAAGUUAUAUACCGAUUGUAAUACUGUCAUGGAAUUGCUCUCUUUGUAUAAUAUUCG